UACACAGCUUCUUUUUCUCCUUCAUGACUGUGCUGCAAUGAGACACGGCGCAGACGCUUUGGCUCAACAUUACAGCAAACGUGAACACACGACACAAUCUUCGGUAAUGGUGCAAGGAGGAGGGAGUUGGACCUGUUCAUCCUUAUGGAUCCUUUCCAAUUUGAGACAUUCCAUGAUUCUACUAUUACAUUUAACUACACUGCUGUGAGUGUGCUGUUCCCUGUUGAUGUUGAAAUGUCUUGGAUGCUUCUGGAAACUGUGCCCUCCAGAGGAUGCCAGACAGGGAUUUUCUGAUCAGCUGAGAUCCAGAUGGAAUUUCACAUCAAAGAGACACUGAAGGAGACAAAGGAUAGAUGUUCUGCCCAUGCCUAUCUAAAAUAACAAUUUGUCACAGGAUAUACAAGGGUUUGAACUCUACUCUCAAGCAUGUGUGUUUUGGACAGUAUUUAUACCGAGACAACUCAGGAGAAGAGCAAUAAACUUGAAACACACAGCCAUCUGGAAACCUAUAGCUGACCUCUCCAGAUGCACUCGUUUUUCAACCUCGACUAGUUCUGAAAUCCUUGCCACCCUAACCUCUGUAAUACCAUUCAGCACGUCUGGUGCUUUCUAGAAGAGCCAUUUCUUGGGUGUGAUAUGAGAUUGAUGUGAUGUGAUAUGAUAUGCUAUGAUAUGAUAUGAUAUAUUAGCUUUUCUUACUUCAUACCAGUUCCUCCAGGAAGGGUGUGGCUUAUCCUGGUCCUGUUCUUGCUACCAGACCUUCUCAUUUCAGGUCUAGUAUGGGCACUCUUGAACAGCAGCACCUCUUGUGAUGGCACUGAGUCAGUAACUAAAGAAAUUCAAGGAAUGUUGAACCCUCGGUGAAGCAUCACAAUCCAAUUUUAAAAGAAAUGACAAUCUGAUGGCAGGGUAUCCUUGCAUUUUGUAGUAAAGACUACAAUGUAGCAACAUGUACAUCAAACUCUGCACUGAUCAGCCAGCCUCAGCCUGUGCAUUUUCCUGCCUUAUGGCAGCAGCAAUCUUUGACAUACUUAAAUACAAUAUGCCUAAUUCUGAAUAAAGGUAUUGAAAGAGUAAUUCUGUUUCUCUCCUUUGAGUAAGGUAUUUCCCCAGUGAGAGAUCAGUGGAGCUUCCAUAAAGAGAAAUGCAAGUGUGUGUGUGGGCUAAGCUAAAGAUUCCCUUUUAUCAGUUCAUAAAGACAACAUAUUCUAACACAUCUAGCAAAAAGCUGGAAUGUUCACACAAAGGCUUGGGAACACUGUCAUCACUGGGUGGAAUUAGGCACAAACUGCAGUUGGGGAAACAGUUGCUUGGGCUUUGUGUCCUUGAAAUAUAUUUAACACAACCUGCCACUGAAAAAAACUGGAUUUCAGUUAUCCUAACAAGGGAGAGUUUUCUCAGCUGAAGGGAGCUUCAAAAGGUGGAGCAUUUCUCUGCUGCUCAUGACUGCCUGAACUGUUCUUCCCUGAAGCUGCUGCCAGCUGAAGUUCCUGUUUUAACAGAUCUGUGAACAAUAUUA
This is a long non-coding RNA of Corvus hawaiiensis (hawaiian crow), 1519 nucleotides long. RefSeq lists it as uncharacterized. The record is from RefSeq and is a predicted model, not a curated record. NCBI's taxonomy places the organism in Eukaryota, Metazoa, Chordata, Aves, Passeriformes, Corvidae. The transcript has 7 exons.